This 497-nucleotide ribosomal RNA is filed under the name uncultured bacterium. RNAcentral describes it as "partial 16S ribosomal RNA". It matches the Rfam family "Bacterial small subunit ribosomal RNA", at positions 28 to 507 of the family's 1533-position model. The record is from RNAcentral.
GAUGAACGCUGGCGGCGUGCCUAAUACAUGCAAGUCGAGCGAACGGACGAGAAGCUUGCUUCUCUGAUGUUAGCGGCGGACGGGUGAGUAACACGUGGAUAACCUACCUAUAAGACUGGGAUAACUUCGGGAAACCGGAGCUAAUACCGGAUAAUAUUUUGAACCGCAUGGUUCAAAAGUGAAAGACGGUCUUGCUGUCACUUAUAGAUGGAUCCGCGCUGCAUUAUCUAGUUGGGAAGGUAACGGACUACCAAGGCAACGAUGCAUAGCCGACCUGAGAGGCUGAUCGGCCACACUGGAACUGAGACACGGUCCAGACUCCUACGGGAGGCAGCAGUAGGGAAUCUUCCGCAAUGGGCGAAAGCCUGACGGAGCAACGCCGCGUGAGUGAUGAAGGUCUUCGGAUCGUAAAACUCUGUUAUUAGGGAAGAACAUAUGUGUAAGUAACUGUGCACAUAUUGACGGUACCUAAUCAGAAAGCCACGGCUAACUACGUG